This 440-nucleotide ribosomal RNA is filed under the name uncultured bacterium. Its description in RNAcentral is "partial 16S ribosomal RNA". It matches the Rfam family "Bacterial small subunit ribosomal RNA", at positions 338 to 795 of the family's 1533-position model. The record is from RNAcentral.
CCUACGGGUGACAGCAGUGGGGAAUAUUGCACAAUGGGGGAAACCCUGAUGCAGCGACGCCGCGUGAGUGAAGAAGUAUUUCGGUAUGUAAAGCUCUUUCAGCAGGGUAGAAAAUGACGGUACCUGAUUAAGAAGCCCCGGCUAACUACGUGCCAGCAGCCGCGGCAAUACGUAGGGGGCAAGCGUUAUCCGGAUUUACUGGGUGUAAAGGGGGCGUAGACGGCAGGACAAGUCUGGAGUGAAAUGCCGGGGCUUAACCCCGGAACUGCUUUGGAAACUGUGCAGCUAGAGUGCAGGAGAGGUAAGUGGAAUUCCUAGGGUAGCGGUGAAAUGCGUAGAUAUUAGGAGGAACACCAGUGGCGAAGGCGGCUUACUGGACUGUAACUGACGUUGAGGCUCGAAAGCGUGGGGAGCAAACAGGAUUAGAUACCCGUGUAGUC